UGGGGAAUUUUGCACAAUGGGGGAAACCCUGAUGCAGCGACGCCGCGUGAUUUAGAAGGCCUUCGGGUUGUAAAAAUCUUUUCUAUGGGAAGAAAAUGACAGUACCAUAGGAAUAAGGACCGGCUAAUUACGUGCCAGCAGCCGCGGUAAUACGUAAGGUCCGAGCGUUGUCCGGAAUCAUUGGGCGUAAAGGGUACGUAGGCGGGUAAGCAAGUUAGAAGUGAAAUCCUAUAGCUCAACUAUAGUAAGCUUUUAAAACUGCUCAUCUUGAGGUAUGGAAGGGAAAGUGGAAUUCCUAGUGUAGCGGGGAAAUGCGCAGAUAUUAGGAGGAAUACCGGUGGCGAAGGCGACUUUCUGGCCAUAAACUGACGCUGAGGUACGAAAGCGUGGGUAGCAAACAGG
RNAcentral lists this ribosomal RNA (402 nucleotides) under Fusobacteriota bacterium. RNAcentral describes it as "Fusobacteria bacterium partial 16S ribosomal RNA". It matches the Rfam family "Bacterial small subunit ribosomal RNA", at positions 355 to 776 of the family's 1533-position model. The record is from RNAcentral. Lineage: Bacteria; Fusobacteriati; Fusobacteriota.